RNAcentral lists this ribosomal RNA (253 nucleotides) under uncultured bacterium. RNAcentral describes it as "partial 16S ribosomal RNA". It matches the Rfam family "Bacterial small subunit ribosomal RNA", at positions 524 to 776 of the family's 1533-position model. The record is from RNAcentral.
UACAGAGGGUGCGAGCGUUGUUCGGAAUUAUUGGGCGUAAAGGGCGCGUAGGCGGUGCGGUAAGUCACCUGUGAGAUCUCCUGGCUCAACUGGGAGCUUGCAGGCGAAACUGCCGUGCUUGAGGACUGGAGAGGAGACUGGAAUUUACGGUGUAGCGGUGAAAUGCGUAGAUAUCGUAAGGAAGACCAGUGGCGAAGGCGGGUCUCUGGACAGUUCCUGACGCUGAGGCACGAAGGUCAGGGGAGCAAACGGG